Molecule: ribosomal RNA, 802 nt
Filed under: uncultured bacterium
Lineage: Bacteria
Description: bacterial SSU rRNA
Rfam family: Bacterial small subunit ribosomal RNA
Source: RNAcentral
CUUACACAUGCAAGUCGAACGGCAGCACGGGAGCAAUCCUGGUGGCGAGUGGCGAACGGGUGAGUAAUAUAUCGGAACGUGCCCAGUCGUGGGGGAUAACGUAGCGAAAGCUACGCUAAUACCGCAUACGAUCUACGGAUGAAAGCGGGGGACUCGUAAGGGCCUCGCGCGAUUGGAGCGGCCGAUAUCAGAUUAGGUUGUUGGUGAGGUAAAAGCUCACCAAGCCUGCGAUCUGUAGCUGGUCUGAGAGGACGACCAGCCACACUGGAACUGAGACACGGUCCAGACUCCUACGGGAGGCAGCAGUGGGGAAUUUUGGACAAUGGACGCAAGUCUGAUCCAGCAAUGCCGCGUGCAGGACGAAGGCCUUCGGGUUGUAAACUGCUUUUGUACGGAACGAAACGGUCUGCUUUAAUACAGUGGGCUAAUGACGGUACCGUAAGAAUAAGCACCGGCUAACUACGUGCCAGCAGCCGCGGUAAUACGUAGGGUGCGAGCGUUAAUCGGAAUUACUGGGCGUAAAGCGUGCGCAGGCGGUUAUAUAAGACAGAUGUGAAAUCCCCGGGCUCAACCUGGGACCUGCAUUUGUGACUGUAUAGCUAGAGUACGGUAGAGGGGGAUGGAAUUCCGCGUGUAGCAGUGAAAUGCGUAGAUAUGCGGAGGAACACCGAUGGCGAAGGCAAUCCCCUGGACCUGUACUGACGCUCAUGCACGAAAGCGUGGGGAGCAAACAGGAUUAGAUACCCUGGUAGUCCACGCCCUAAACGAUGUCAACUGGUUGUUGGGUCUUCACUGACUCAGU